CUUGUCAACAAUGACGAAGAGGACUAUAGCCACGUGUCCACUAGAUGCGAUUUUCCCGCACGGCAACGCACCGCAUCUGAAAAUUGCACGGAUGGCGGGCGGUCACUAGCGGACCACAGCAUUGUCACGUGACAGCGGUCGAGCAACAGUGGGCCACUACUCGGUCACGUGACAGCACUUUCAGCUUGACGGUCCGGUAGAUGACUCGGAUAAACACAGUGGCUCGGCCGCAAACUUUCUCUUUUAUUUUGAACACACUUCAGCGAGAGGUAUUUCUGAAAGCAUUUGAGGCGAGAAAUAAGCUGUGUGUGGUAGGACGACCUAGUCCGCCUCCACUCGUGUUGUGUGUAUCAGAUCAGAUCUGCGCAGCUGGGAGUAAUCUUCCUAAUGCACCUUGCUUGCAGGGCGGUGCCACGCUCCCAUCUGGGAGAGGGCUGCGCGUCUUGUACGUGCAUCCUCUCUCCCUGGAGCCGGAGGGCUACAUCAGUAGCGUGGUUUGGCGUGGAUCUGCGUGGUAGUUAUGAGACGCUGGCUGUCGAGCUUUCGCUAUUCCCUUUCAUCUGGAGCUGUUGGGCCAGGUGGCUGGUGGCUGACUGAUUCCCCCGGCGGUGGUGGUCCCUUCACUCCCUGUACAGUAGUGCACUUGGGUGUCCGUCAAUGGUUUUGUUUUAUUCACAUGUGGUGUGGUGCAUCAGGACCCUUCCCUUCCCCCCUUCAGUUAGUCAUCUCUGCCUGGUAAGCCCUCAGCCCUGUGCCUAGUGACUGUCUUUCGGUGGCAAACUUAACUAAUCCAGGGGGGCCCCUGGAGGAUUAGAUUAAUAUUGUGCCACUUACUACCGAGUUAUUUCUUGGCAUCACCACCAAGGGUUUUUUAGUGAGGAAAGAGUGUAAAUUUUUAAAUACUGUUAAUAAAUUUCAUUUUUCUAUACUUUAUUUGGAAUCGCGUCAGUCUCUGGUGUCUGUCGUACCUGUGUGACCUUUCCUUUGUCUGUAUUGGAGCAGUGGUCCUCUCUCCAUAGAUCUCCUGGGGGUGAAAUUCCCCCAGGUGGCGUUGUCGGACAUGUGAUAAAUAACAAAAGUACAUUCAAUCCCUCGUACCCUUGCCACAUGUGCAGUAACUCAAUCUUUCCUCGUUUUAGUUCACCGACGGCUAGUUUAGAUGUUUGAGGACAGUUUCACGAUGCACGGAAUCUCCGCACACCGCAUUGCAUUUGCAUAAAGUAGAAGUCCAGUCUACUUUAUGCAAAUGAGCUGCAGGCCCGCUCCGGGUAAACACACUGGACCACAGCUGGAAACGAACCGCAACCGGACCAGCAUGCAACUGCGAUGUGUUUCCAGCUGCGAGCCGGUGUGUAAGUU
Long non-coding RNA from Amphiprion ocellaris (clown anemonefish), 1359 nucleotides. Lineage: Eukaryota; Metazoa; Chordata; Actinopteri; Pomacentridae. The record is from Ensembl.